This 447-nucleotide ribosomal RNA is filed under the name uncultured Ignatzschineria sp. RNAcentral's name for it is "bacterial SSU rRNA". It matches the Rfam family "Bacterial small subunit ribosomal RNA", at positions 75 to 515 of the family's 1533-position model. The record is from RNAcentral. Lineage: Bacteria; Pseudomonadati; Pseudomonadota; Gammaproteobacteria; Cardiobacteriales; Ignatzschineriaceae.
UUUACUUCUUCAGGCGUCGAGUGGCGGACGGGUGAGUAAUGCAUAGGAAUCUGCCCUAUAGUUUGGGAUAACUACUCGAAAGAGUGGCUAAUACCGGAUGUGGACUACGGUUUAAAGCAGGGGACCUUCGGGCCUUGCGCUAUAGGAUGAGCCUAUGUGGGAUUAGCUAGUUGGUGAGGUAAAGGCUCACCAAGGCGACGAUCUCUAGCUGGUCUGAGAGGAUGAUCAGCCACACUGGGACUGAGACACGGCCCAGACUCCUACGGGAGGCAGCAGUGGGGAAUAUUGGACAAUGGGCGGAAGCCUGAUCCAGCAAUACCGCGUGUGUGAAGAAGGCCUUCGGGUUGUAAAGCACUUUUGUCAGGGAGAAUGGCAGUUGAGGUUAAUACCCUUAGCUGUUGAUGUUACCCCCAAGAAUAAGCACGGGGUUAANUCCGUGCCAGCAGC